AUUGAACGCUGGCGGCAGGCUUAACACAUGCAAGUCGAACGAUGAAACUCUAGCUUGCUAGAGAAGAUUAGUGGCGGACGGGUGAGUAACAUUUAGGAAUCUGCCUAGUAGUGGGGGAUAGCUCGGGGAAACUCGAAUUAAUACCGCAUACGACCUACGGGUGAAAGGGGGCGCAAGCUCUUGCUAUUAGAUGAGCCUAAAUCAGAUUAGCUAGUUGGUGGGGUAAAGGCCUACCAAGGCGACGAUCUGUAACUGGUCUGAGAGGAUGAUCAGUCACACCGGAACUGAGACACGGUCCGGACUCCUACGGGAGGCAGCAGUGGGGAAUAUUGGACAAUGGGGGCAACCCUGAUCCAGCCAUGCCGCGUGUGUGAAGAAGGCCUUUUGGUUGUAAAGCACUUUAAGCAGGGAGGAGAGGCUAAUGGUUAAUACCCAUUAGAUUAGACGUUACCUGCAGAAUAAGCACCGGCUAACUCUGUGCCAGCAGCCGCGGUAAUACAGAGGGUGCGAGCGUUAAUCGGAAUUACUGGGCGUAAAGCGAGUGUAGGUGGCUCAUUAAGUCACAUGUGAAAUCCCCGGGCUUAACCUGGGAACUGCAUGUGAUACUGGUGGUGCUAGAAUAUGUGAGAGGGAAGUAGAAUUCCAGGUGUAGCGGUGAAAUGCGUAGAGAUCUGGAGGAAUACCGAUGGCGAAGGCAGCUUCCUGGCAUAAUAUUGACACUGAGAUUCGAAAGCGUGGGUAGCAAACAGGAUUAGAUACCCUGGUAGUCCACGCCGUAAACGAUGUCUACUAGCCGUUGGGGUCCUUGAGACUUUAGUGGCGCAGUUAACGCGAUAAGUAGACCGCCUGGGGAGUACGGCCGCAAGGUUAAAACUCAAAUGAAUUGACGGGGGCCCGCACAAGCGGUGGAGCAUGUGGUUUAAUUCGAUGCAACGCGAAGAACCUUACCUGGUCUUGACAUAGUGAGAAUCCUGCAGAGAUGCGGGAGUGCCUUCGGGAACUCACAUACAGGUGCUGCAUGGCUGUCGUCAGCUCGUGUCGUGAGAUGUUGGGUUAAGUCCCGCAACGAGCGCAACCCUUUUCCUUAUUUGCCAGCGGGUUAAGCCGGGAACUUUAAGGAUACUGCCAGUGACAAACUGGAGGAAGGCGGGGACGACGUCAAGUCAUCAUGGCCCUUACGACCAGGGCUACACACGUGCUACAAUGGUAGGUACAGAGGGUUGCUACACAGCGAUGUGAUGCUAAUCUCAAAAAGCCUAUCGUAGUCCGGAUUGGAGUCUGCAACUCGACUCCAUGAAGUCGGAAUCGCUAGUAAUCGCAGAUCAGAAUGCUGCGGUGAAUACGUUCCCGGGCCU
This 1355-nucleotide ribosomal RNA is filed under the name uncultured bacterium. RNAcentral's name for it is "bacterial SSU rRNA". It matches the Rfam family "Bacterial small subunit ribosomal RNA", at positions 28 to 1381 of the family's 1533-position model. The record is from RNAcentral.